RNAcentral lists this ribosomal RNA (1416 nucleotides) under Clostridioides difficile DA00244. Its description in RNAcentral is "bacterial LSU rRNA". It matches the Rfam family "Bacterial large subunit ribosomal RNA", at positions 1493 to 2925 of the family's 2925-position model. The record is from RNAcentral. Lineage: Bacteria; Bacillati; Bacillota; Clostridia; Peptostreptococcales; Peptostreptococcaceae.
CACUGUUGGUUAUGUGUGCCCAAGCAUUGAGGCAGUCAAAGUAGGCAAAUCCGCUUUGAUAAUGCUGGGAUGUGAUGGGGAGCGAAAUUUAGUAGCGAAGUAGCUGAUUUCACACUGUCAAGAAAAGUCUCUAUCGAGGUUAAAGGUACCCGUACCGCAAACCGACACAGGUGGGUGAGGAGAGUAUCCUAAGGCCAGCGAGAGAACUGUUGUUAAGGAACUCGGCAAAAUGACCCCGUAACUUAGGGAUAAGGGGUGCCACCAUCAGGUGGCCGCAGAGAAUAGGCCCAAGCGACUGUUUACCAAAAACAUAGGUUUCUGCUAAGUCGCAAGACGAUGUAUAGGAGCUGACGCCUGCCCGGUGCUGGAAGUUAAGGGGAUCUGUUAGAGCAAUCGAAGCAGUGAACUUAAGCCCCAGUAAACGGCGGCCGUAACUAUAACGGUCCUAAGGUAGCGAAAUUCCUUGUCGGGUAAGUUCCGACCCGCACGAAAGGCGUAACGAUUUGGGCACUGUCUCAACAACAGACUCGGUGAAAUUGUAAUUCCGGUGAAGAUGCCGGAUACCUGCGACAGGACGGAAAGACCCCAUGGAGCUUUACUGUAGCUUGACAUUGGGUCUUGGUACUACAUGUACAGGAUAGGUGGGAGGCUUUGAAACCAGGACGCCAGUUUUGGCGGAGCCAUCCUUGGGAUACCACCCUUGUAGUACUGGGACUCUAACCAUAGGCCAUGAAUCUGGUCUUGGGACACUGUCAGGUGGGCAGUUUGACUGGGGCGGUCGCCUCCCAAAAGGUAACGGAGGCGCUCAAAGGUUCUCUCAGUACGGUCGGAAAUCGUACGUAGAGUGUAAAGGCAAAAGAGAGCUUGAUUGCAAGACAUACAGGUCGAGCAAGGAUGAAAAUCGGACUUAGUGAUCCGGUGGUUCUGCGUGGAAGGGCCAUCGCUCAACGGAUAAAAGCUACCCUGGGGAUAACAGGCUUAUCUCCCCCAAGAGUCCACAUCGACGGGGAGGUUUGGCACCUCGAUGUCGGCUCAUCACAUCCUGGGGCUGUAGUAGGUCCCAAGGGUUGGGCUGUUCGCCCAUUAAAGUGGUACGCGAGCUGGGUUCAGAACGUCGUGAGACAGUUCGGUCCCUAUCCGUCGCAGGCGUAGGAAAUUUGAGAAGACCUGUCCUUAGUACGAGAGGACCGGGAUGGACGUACCUCUGGUGUACCAGUUGUCCUGCCAAGGGCAUGGCUGGGUAGCUAUGUACGGAAUGGAUAAGCGCUGAAAGCAUCUAAGCGCGAAGCCAACUUCAAGAUAAGAUUUCCCACCGCAAGGGUAAGACCCCAGAAAGACUAUCUGGUUGAUAGGUCGAAGGUGUAAGUGCAGCAAUGUAUUUAGCUUAUCGAUACUAAUAGGUCGAGGACUUGACCA